This 501-nucleotide ribosomal RNA is filed under the name uncultured bacterium. Its description in RNAcentral is "partial 16S ribosomal RNA". It matches the Rfam family "Bacterial small subunit ribosomal RNA", at positions 30 to 523 of the family's 1533-position model. The record is from RNAcentral.
AUUGAACGCUGGCGGCAUGCCUUACACAUGCAAGUCGAACGGCAGCACGGGUGCUUGCACCUGGUGGCGAGUGGCGAACGGGUGAGUAAUACAUCGGAACGUGCCCAGUCGUGGGGGAUAACGCAGCGAAAGCUGUGCUAAUACCGCAUACGAUCUAUGGAUGAAAGCGGGGGAUCGCAAGACCUCGCGCGAUUGGAGCGGCCGAUAUCAGAUUAGAUAGUUGGUGGGGUAAAAGCUACCAAGGCGACGAUCUGUAGCUGGUCUGAGAGGACGACCAGCCACACUGGAACUGAGACACGGUCCAGACUCCUACGGGAGGCAGCAGUGGGGAAUUUUGGACAAUGGGCGCAAGCCUGAUCCAGCAAUGCCGCGUGCAGGAUGAAGGCCUUCGGGUUGUAAACUGCUUUUGUACGGAGCGAAAAGGCUCUCUCUAAUACAGGGGGCUCAUGACGGUACCGUAAGAAUAAGCACCGGCUAACUACGUGCCAGCAGCCGCCGUAA